This 477-nucleotide ribosomal RNA is filed under the name uncultured bacterium. Its description in RNAcentral is "partial 16S ribosomal RNA". It matches the Rfam family "Bacterial small subunit ribosomal RNA", at positions 355 to 824 of the family's 1533-position model. The record is from RNAcentral.
UAGGGAAUCUUCCACAAUGGACGCAAGUCUGAUGGAGCAACGCCGCGUGAGUGAAGAAGGUCUUCGGAUCGUAAAGCUCUGUUGUUGGUGAAGAAGGAUAGAGGCAGUAACUGGUCUUUAUUUGACGGUAAUCAACCAGAAAGUCACGGCUAACUACGUGCCAGCAGCCGCGGUAAUACGUAGGUGGCAAGCGUUGUCCGGAUUUAUUGGGCGUAAAGCGAGCGCAGGCGGGAUGAUAAGUCUGAUGUGAAAGCCCACGGCUCAACCGUGGAACUGCAUCGGAAACUGUCAUUCUUGAGUGCAGAAGAGGAGAGUGGAACUCCAUGUGUAGCGGUGGAAUGCGUAGAUAUAUGGAAGAACACCAGUGGCGAAGGCGGCUCUCUGGUCUGCAACUGACGCUGAGGCUCGAAAGCAUGGGUAGCGAACAGGAUUAGAUACCCUGGUAGUCCAUGCCGUAAACGAUGAGCGCUAGGUGUU